Molecule: ribosomal RNA, 26 nt
Filed under: Boreophyllum birdiae
Lineage: Eukaryota; Rhodophyta; Bangiophyceae; Bangiales; Bangiaceae
Description: partial 5.8S ribosomal RNA
Source: RNAcentral
UAAUAUAACAAUCUUAGCGUGAUCUG